GUGUCAGCAGCCGCGGUAAUACGUAGGCAGCAAGCGUUGUUCGGAAUUAUUGGGCGUAAAGAGCUCGUAGGCGGUUUGCCAAGUUUGGUGUGAAAUCUCCCGGCUUAACUGGGAGGGUGCGCCGAAUACUAGCAGGCUAGAGUACGGGAGAGGAAAGCGGAAUUCCUGGUGUAGCGGUGAAAUGCGUAGAUAUCAGGAGGAACACCUGCGGUGUAGACGGCUUUCUGGACCGAAACUGACGCUGAGGAGCGAAAGCGUGGGUAGCAAACAGGAUUAGAUACCCUGGUAGUCC
RNAcentral lists this ribosomal RNA (292 nucleotides) under uncultured bacterium. Its description in RNAcentral is "partial 16S ribosomal RNA". It matches the Rfam family "Bacterial small subunit ribosomal RNA", at positions 505 to 796 of the family's 1533-position model. The record is from RNAcentral.